AGGAUUCCUUCACGGGCUUAGGAAGAUUAUAAAAAAUGAAGGAAUUGGCGGAAUUUAUAAAGGAGUAGCCCCAACAGUUUUGAAGCAGGCCAGCAAUCAGGGCAUUCGCUUUUUAGUAUACGAUAACGUUAAAAAUUAUCUUUGCAAGUUUGAAAUGAAUUCAAUAGCCACGAAUGCUAUUUCGGGGCUGAUUGCUGGUGCUUGCAGUGUUUAUGGAAACACUCCUAUUGAUGUAGUUAA
Long non-coding RNA from Zophobas morio, 240 nucleotides. RefSeq lists it as uncharacterized. NCBI's taxonomy places the organism in Eukaryota, Metazoa, Arthropoda, Insecta, Coleoptera, Tenebrionidae. The transcript is spliced from 3 exons. The record is from RefSeq and is a predicted model, not a curated record.